CCUACUUUACUCUUUAAAUUCUCUAGCUUUAAUGUGGGUUGAUGUUUUGUCUUAUGAUUGGGUCCCUUUAUUUAAACAUGUACAGUCAGUGUAAUAUCCUAAUCUCUUAAGCUUUCUAUAUGAUCAUUAUAGUGAGCUUUAGACCAAUGACUCCUAAAUCAGUUGAUUUUAGAGCAUUAGGUAUAGAAUACCCCUCAAGC
Molecule: long non-coding RNA, 200 nt
Filed under: Elaeis guineensis (African oil palm)
Lineage: Eukaryota; Viridiplantae; Streptophyta; Magnoliopsida; Arecales; Arecaceae
Description: long non-coding RNA (EGUI_LNC033143)
Source: RNAcentral